CAGUCGCCGCGGGAAUACGUAGGUGGCAAGCGUUGUUCGGAAUUAUUGGGCGUAAAGCGCGCGCAGGCGGAUUGGUCAGUCUGUCUUAAAAGUUCGGGGCUUAACCCCGUGAUGGGAUGGAAACUACCAAUCUAGAGUAUCGGAGAGGAAAGUGGAAUUCCUAGUGUAGCGGUGAAAUGCGUAGAUAUUAGGAAGAACACCAGUGGCGAAGGCGACUUUCUGGACGAAAACUGACGCUGAGGCGCGAAAGCCAGGGGAGCGAACGGGAUUAGAUACCCCGGUAGUCCCUGUCUCUUAUACA
RNAcentral lists this ribosomal RNA (301 nucleotides) under uncultured bacterium. Its description in RNAcentral is "partial 16S ribosomal RNA". It matches the Rfam family "Bacterial small subunit ribosomal RNA", at positions 509 to 809 of the family's 1533-position model. The record is from RNAcentral.